CCCGCUGAACUUAAGCAUAUCAAUAAGCGGAGGAAAAGAAACCAACAGGGAUUGCCUUAGUAACGGCGAGUGAAGUGGCAAAAGCUCAGAUUUGAAAUCUGAUGUCAAUUUGGCAUCUGAGUUGUAAUCUGUAGAGGAGUAUUCAAGUAUGACUUUGGCUUAAGUUUUCUUAGAAUAGAGCAUCAUAGAAGGUGAGAAUCCUGUCUAUAGUUAAAGUUUUAUGCUUAUAUGAAUCUCCUUCAAUGAGUCGAGUUGUUUGGGAAUGCAGCUCUAAAUUGGUGGUAAAUUCCAUCUAAAGCUAAAUAUUGGCAAGAGACCGAUAGUGCACAAGUAGAGUGAUCGAAAGAUGAAAAGAACUCUGAACAGAGAGUUAAAUAGUACGUGAAAUUGUUAAAAGGGAAACGCUUGAAGUCAGUCAUGUUUGCUUGGACUCAACCUUGCUCCCGCUUGGUGCAUUUCCUUGUAGACAGGCCAGCGUCCAUGUUGUUUAUUGAAAAAGGGGUGAAAGAAUGUAGCUUCUUUGGGAGUGUUAUAGCUUUCUCUCGUAUGCAAUGACUGAUAUGGAGUGGUACAGCAUGCCUUUGGUGGUGCUUGUGCUGGCAUAAUGGCUUUAAACGACCCGUCUUGAAACACGG
Molecule: ribosomal RNA, 635 nt
Filed under: uncultured fungus
Lineage: Eukaryota; Fungi
Description: eukaryotic LSU rRNA
Rfam family: Eukaryotic large subunit ribosomal RNA
Source: RNAcentral